This 1402-nucleotide unclassified non-coding RNA is filed under the name Leishmania donovani. Its description in RNAcentral is "gene:unknown". Lineage: Eukaryota; Euglenozoa; Kinetoplastea; Trypanosomatida; Trypanosomatidae. The record is from RNAcentral.
CGGGGCACUUGGACCCUGUGAUGCCACGCCCUAAGGUGUGUGUGUGUGUACCCCUCGUCCCCCGCCCCGCCCCGCCCCCUCCCGCGUCCAUCAGGACUUUCGAACAAAAUGAGGCCCAGAGAAUAGCCGAAACAGUAUUGUACGUUUUGGGGGGUUGUUUUCGCGAUGGAGAAGAGGUGAGGUGUGUAUCUCUCAUUCUCUAAGCAUAUAUGCAUACAUGCAUAUGUAUAGGUGUGUAGAUGUAUGCAUAUAUACGCAUAUAUAUAUAUAUAUAUACUACGACUACGACUUUUAAUGACGACUACGACGACGAAGGCGCCGACUACUACUACGUGUGUGUGUGUGCCCUGUAUUGCUGGCUUUUUGAUGUCGUUGCUUGCUUGUUUGUGUCUUCUAAGAACCUGUGUGGAGCACAAGCAGAGGAAGCGCCGGGUCCUCGCGAUGUCUCUCCUUCUCUAAGACAAUCCCCACCCCAUCCCCGCCCCUUUUGUAUCUCGUUCUGUAGUCCGCCGUCUACUCGCUUCCCCUCCUUUACAGCCGUUUUUUUGUUGUUGUUGCUGUUGUUCUCUUUGUGUGUUUGAUGUUGGUUCCCUUUGGCGUCUCGCCAUGCACGGCGGACCACUCUUCAUCUCCCCCACCUCUCCCUCCUCACGUUAUCUUGUCGGUCUUCUCUAUAUUUUCUCCCCUGUAUCGGCCUGUGCGAGUGAUGUUCUCUUCGGUUUUUGUACCCGCGAUGUAAAAGGUGAGGAGGAGAAGGACAACAUCAGCCAUGCGAAGGGGUGGAUGCGCGAGAGAGAGUGAUGACGGCAGGGCGCCCAUCACGGGGGUGAGAGAGGAUAAGAAAGUCGUGCCCAGCAUGCACAAGUGCGCAGAAAGUAGAUGGAGCGAUUCGCUGACGCGACGUUAGCGUGCACACUUGCUGUCGCUCCUUCCUCUCCCGCCCUCCCAGGUGCUCUGUAUCGAUGUCGCUCCGCCCGCCGGCCCGAUUCCCGAAUCACGUCGACGAGGGAGGGAGCACUUCCGCCCACCCCCUCCACCACCUCUAUGCCGUCGUCGUAGUUCUCGUUGGCGGCGUCGCUUUUCUUUUUCUCGCCUUAUUUGCUUUCGCUUUCGUUGUAUCGUGUCGUCUCAUUCUACUCGGGCGUCUCCGGCAGCCCAUCCGCGUGCGCGCGCACGAAAACAAGGGCAAGCAGAUGCCACUCUGACCUGUAUGAGCUCUUUUCUCCCCUUUUCCUCCCCCCUCCUGUCGCUCCCUCGUUGUUGUUGGUUGUGUAUCACCUCAUCGUCUGUGCGCGUACUUCCCCCCUCCCAACACACGCACACACGCACGCACAAAACCGCCUCACUCCCCCCCCAAAAAAAAAAAAUGAUUCGGAAUAUUAACAUCAGCGGAAAUCUGAAG